Molecule: long non-coding RNA, 432 nt
Organism: Astyanax mexicanus (Mexican tetra)
Lineage: Eukaryota; Metazoa; Chordata; Actinopteri; Characiformes; Acestrorhamphidae
Exons: 3
Source: RefSeq, a predicted model, not a curated record
GUGCUCUGACUUCAAGGGAGCAGAGUCUGGAGGAAGAGUGGAGAGGCACAUAGUCCAAGCUGCUUGAGGUCUAGUGUGAAGGUUCCAUCAAGCUCCAAUCAGUGAUGGUUUGGAGAGGAUUGGACUGUUUUUAAGUUGAUGUUCCAAAUCACGUGCUCACAUUUUACAGUGAAAAAAUGCAUAAGUGUGUGAGAGGACUUUGGCGGAGGCAGAGGAGGAUUAAUCUAGAAUUGUGUUUAAGGUGCAGUUAAAGUCCAAAUGCUUAAUAGUUUGCAUUUUAUUGUUCGGCACUUCGAUAAAAUAUUGGCCUCUGAUUUUUUGGCUCCUUAAACUAGUUUUUGUCUGGAGCCUUGAAAACAGAAAAAAUGGUUUUAAACUCAAAUAUACAAAAUAAUAUAUACAAACAAUGUACAGUAAUAAUGUUAAUAAUCU